AACGCAGAAUUAUGUUUUAAAUUUUUUAUGUAAGAUUUUUUUUUAUACUACAUACAUAUAUUAUUUUUAACUUAAGUGAUUUGUUGCCCCUAUAGCUGCACUUCUUAAUAAUUAUAACGUGCGCGCAUUUUAUGGGAUGCGCCUCUGAUUGGCUUGUCAAAAAUGUGUUGGUAUUAUAUAUACAACCCUUCACAACAAUAGUUUUUUUCUAUCUGUAGGCUUAUCAUACUGCUGACCUUAACCGCGACAAUUGCGACAUGUGUAUAUAGAGCAGAAAUACAUUCGUAUAUUUAUUGAAUUACAUUUUCCGCAGACUCUUUCUCGUUUUGGUCACUGUGAGUAAUACAAUUUGGAAGUCAACACAAUGAUACAUAUUAAAUGCAAGGACACUGACCUAGAACCAAUAACCGUUAAGAUUGGUAUAAUUGGUGGUAGCGGUCUCGAUGAUCCGGAUAUUUUAGAAAAUCGCAAAGAGACCGAAGUCAAGACACCAUUCGGCAACCCUUCUGAUGUCUUGAUCGAAGGUGAGAUUGGCGGUGUAAACUGUGUACUCUUGGCACGUCAUGGUCGCAAACAUAACAUUAUGCCAACUAACGUGAAUUAUCGUGCCAACAUUUGGGCCAUGCGUCAAGUUGGCUGCACACAUUUAAUUGUAUCAACCGCGUGCGGAUCACUGCGGGAAGAAAUCCAUCCAGGCGAUUUGGUAGUACCAAAUGACUUCAUCGAUCGCACCACGAAACGUGUACAAACCUUUUACGAUGGCGGGGCGGAAAGUCCGCGUGGUGUUUGUCAUUUAAGUAUGUUUCCAUGUUUCAGUGAACGUGUACGCUCGAUGCUAGUUGCCACUGCUAAAGAAUUGGAUUACAACGUACAUGAAAAGGCAACCAUUGUAACAAUUGAAGGACCACGUUUCUCUUCACGUUCUGAAAGUAACAUGUUCCGCCAAUGGGGUGGUGAUCUUAUUAAUAUGACCACUUGUCCCGAAGUUGUAUUGGCCAAAGAAGCUGGACUAUUAUAUGGUUCCGUGGCGAUUGCAACCGAUUACGACUGCUGGCGCAUGGGUUGCGAAGGUGUUAAUGUGCAAGAUGUAUUAAAGACCUUUUCCGCCAAUGUUGUCAAGGUAAAGCAUAUACUAAUAAAGGCCGUACAGAAUAUAGCCAAAGAAGAUUGGACCGAAGAUAUUUUGGAUGCUAAGGAAUGCGUUUGCAAGAACACAAUGUCCGGUGCAAUGUGACGCUUUUUACUAUUAUGUCAAGAAUUUACUGGUGAAUUCAUACAACGUCGUCGCCCACAAAUCUCCGCUUCAAAAUUCAACGACCCAAACAACACAAUGAACUUGCUUCCUAAAUUGAAUUCAAUUUCUAUAGUCUACGACUUAGUUCCAGCAUCAAAAGAACACAACGUUCAAGAGAAUCAUAAAAAGCAAAGGAAAACACAUCCCAAUCAGAAUGCGGAGCAAUCAGCAUAAUUUCCAAAUAAUGGCAACUUAUUAUAUUUUACCGUAUUAGCCUACAAAACUAACCUAACCUUACCUAUUAUAUUUUACGAUACCCUAUUUUAGUUAUAAACUACUGCACAUACAGCAUUUACUCCUCAAUAUGUGCGCAUGUGUUCAUGCCUCAUAAAUUGUAUUUCAAAUGUUUUAAAAUAAAGUUAACACCAGUUUAUUUAAAAAAAUGUGCAUGAUUUAUGAGGAAUAUUGUAUGCAAUCCGUAACAUUUACUUUGUACACCUUUUUAUAUAACACUUGUUUCUGUGAAAUCAUAUAUUCUGUUGUAGAAAAUGUCUUAGUAAAUCAUUUGCUUUAAAAAAAUUUUAGAUGGAAAAUUAAAUUUUGAAAAGUCAUUAAAUAAAAAUUAAAUAAUAUUAUUCUGCAAUUCUUGUAUGCGCCCAAAAUCAUUUCCCUUAUCGAAAUUAGUCAACUAAGAAAACCAUGGCGUGCUGCGAAAGGGAAGCGAAACCUGCGCCCAAAAAGGAGCCUGCUGAGGCAGGAAUUUGUGGUUGCAUGGUCAAAAUUGGCAUAAUUGGCGGCAGCGGUCUAGACGAUCCAGAUAUAUUAGAAGGAAGAAAG
Non-coding RNA from Bactrocera oleae (olive fruit fly), 2071 nucleotides. Lineage: Eukaryota; Metazoa; Arthropoda; Insecta; Diptera; Tephritidae. The record is from RefSeq and is a predicted model, not a curated record.